CUGCGAAUGGCUCUUUAUAUCAGUUAUAGUUUAUUUGAUGAAGAAGACUAAUUGGAUAACCGUAGUAAUUCUAGAGCUAAUACAUGUAUAAAGUCUUGUAGACUGCAUUUAUUAGAAUGAAAACCAUAGGUUUCGGCCUAUUCGUGAGUAAUAAUAACUAAAUCUAUCGUAUGCUUAUGUAACGAUGUGUCUUUCAAGUUUCUGCCCUAUCAGCUUUCGAUGGUAGUGUAUUGGACUACCAUG
This 243-nucleotide ribosomal RNA is filed under the name Blastocystis sp. RNAcentral's name for it is "partial 18S ribosomal RNA". It matches the Rfam family "Eukaryotic small subunit ribosomal RNA", at positions 87 to 348 of the family's 1831-position model. Lineage: Eukaryota; Bigyra; Opalinata; Blastocystidae. The record is from RNAcentral.